UGCCAGCAGCCGCGGUAAUACGUAGGGGGCCAGCGUUGCUCGGAAUUACUGGGCGUAAAGGGUUCGUAGGCGGUGCGGCAAGUCGGGAGUGAAAUCUCUGGGCUUAACCCAGAGGCUGCUUCCGAAACUGCCGUGCUAGAGUGCGGGAGAGGCCAGUGGAAUUGCAGGUGUAGCGGUGAAAUGCGUAGAUAUCUGCAGGAACACCCGUGACGAAGGCGGCUGGCUGGACCGCAACUGACGCUGAGGAACGAAAGCUAGGGGAGCAAACAGGAUUAGAUACCCUGGUAGUCCUAGCCCUAAACCAUCAGGACUUGGGGUGCAUCCCGUUGGGGGUGCGUCCCGUAGCUAACGCGUUAAGUACCUGCGCCCUGGGGAGUACCGGUCGCAAGGCUAAACUCAAAGAAUUAC
RNAcentral lists this ribosomal RNA (408 nucleotides) under uncultured bacterium. RNAcentral's name for it is "bacterial SSU rRNA". It matches the Rfam family "Bacterial small subunit ribosomal RNA", at positions 506 to 912 of the family's 1533-position model. The record is from RNAcentral.